Molecule: unclassified non-coding RNA, 289 nt
Filed under: Hevea brasiliensis (rubber tree)
Lineage: Eukaryota; Viridiplantae; Streptophyta; Magnoliopsida; Malpighiales; Euphorbiaceae
Source: RNAcentral
UAUGUGCAAUCCUUGGAUAUUCUUGCUGGAAAGAAUGGAGUUGGACCUGCGAAAGUAACCAGACUAAUGUUUAAGAUUAUUUUCAAGUUGUUAAGGAUUGUUAAGAACAUUGGGCUUGGAGGUAAAAUAAUUUGAAGGAGAAGGUGUACUGAUGCUAUCUGAUCAAUUUGGAGCCAAAAGCAAGAGCUAUGAGGAUCUUGAAAUGAUAACAAACUAGAAUCUGAUGCAGGACAAUAGAAUUUACUUAGUCAUGUGCGACACAAACUUUUUUCAUAACAUGCGAUCCGAU